UGAACAUGAGACGCUAAGGCGUCGAAGUAGUGUAUAUCAGACCUCCAAGAAAAGCUUGCACUGUCAUAGAUAAAAAAUGCCUGUACCAUAACCGACACAGGUGGGUAGGUAGAGUAUACUAAGGGGCGCGAGAUAACUCUCUCUAAGGAACUCGGCAAAAUAACUCCGUAACUUCGGGAGAAGGAGUGCCUUAUUUAUAAGGUUGCAAUAACAAGAUCCAAGCAACUGUUUAUCAAAAACACAGGUCUCCGCUAAGUCGUAAGACGAUGUAUGGGGGCUGACGCCUGCCCAGUGCCAGAAGGUUAAAGAAGUUGGUUAGCAAUUGCGAAGCUGAUAACUGAAGCCCUGGUGAACGGCGGCCGUAACAAUAACGGUCCUAAGGUAGCGAAAUUCCUUGUCGGGUAAGUUCCGACCCGCACGAAAGGCGUACUGAUUUGGAUACUGUCUCGGAGAGGGGCUCGGUGAAAUAGACUUGUCUGUGAAGAUGCGGACUACCUGCACCAGGACAGAAAGACCCUAUGAAGCUUUACUGUAACUUGAAAUUGAAAUUGGACUUUAUUCGCGCAGCAUAGGUGGGAGGCGUUGAUUAUAAUCUUGCGGGAUUAUUGGAGCCAUCAGUGAGAUACCACUCUUGUAAUGUUAGAUUUCUAACUUUGAAUCAUUAUCUGGUCAAAGAACAGUUUCAGGCGGGCAGUUUGACUGGGGCGGUCGCCUCCUAAAUGGUAACGGAGGCGUACAAAGGUUUCCUCUGAACGGUUAGAAAUCGUAUCUAGAGUGUAAAGGCAUAAGGAAGCUUGACUGUGAGACCUACAAGUCGAGCAGGGACGAAAGUCGGUCUUAGUGAUCUGACGGUACUGAGUGGAAAGGCCGUCACUCAACGGAUAAAAGUUACUCUAAGGAUAACAGGCUGAUCUCCCCCAAGAGUUCACAUCGACGGGGAGGUUUGGCACCUUGAUGUCGGCUCAUCGCAUCCUGGGGCGGUAGUACGUCCCAAGGGUUGGGCUGUUCGCCCAUGAAAGCGGUACGCGAGCUGGGUUCAGAACGUCGUGAGACAGUUCGGUCCAUAUCCGGUGUAGGCGUUAGAAUAUUGAGAGGAGCCUUCUUUAGUACGAGAGGACCGAGAAGGACAUACCUCUGGUGUACCAGUUAUCGUGCCAACGGUAAACGCUGGGUAGCUAUGUAUGGAGUGGAUAACCGCUGAAAGCAUCUAAGUGGGAAGCCCACCUCAAGAUAAGUA
Molecule: ribosomal RNA, 1237 nt
Filed under: metagenome
Description: bacterial LSU rRNA
Rfam family: Bacterial large subunit ribosomal RNA
Source: RNAcentral